Molecule: transfer RNA, 71 nt
Filed under: Notocrypta curvifascia (restricted demon)
Lineage: Eukaryota; Metazoa; Arthropoda; Insecta; Lepidoptera; Hesperiidae
Description: tRNA-Lys
Source: RNAcentral
CAUUAGAUGGCUGAAAGUAAGUAUUGGUCUCUUAAACCACCCUAUAGUAAAUUAACAUUUACUUCUAAUGA